Molecule: unclassified non-coding RNA, 240 nt
Filed under: soil metagenome
Description: partial contains 5.8S ribosomal RNA, internal transcribed spacer 2, and large subunit ribosomal RNA
Source: RNAcentral
AACGCACGAGACCUGCGGACCUGCGGAGGGAUCAUUAAUGAGAAGCUGCCCCUCGUGGGUAGACCUCCCACCCUCUGUGAACUUACCUUUGUUGCUUUGGCAGGCCCGUCCUCUGGACCGCCGGCUUCGGCUGGCCCGUGCCUGCCAGAGGAUUCCAAACCCUGUCUGUCAGUGUUGUCUGAGUCUAUAUGAAAUCGCUAAAACUUUUAACAAUGGAUCUCUAGAUCGGAAGAGCACACG